AUUGAACGCUGGCGGAAUGCUUUACACAUGCAAGUCGAACGAUGAACCUUAGCUUGCUAGGGGGAUUAGUGGCGAACGGGUGAGUAACAUAUCGGAACGUACCUAGUAAUGGGGGAUAACUAGUCGAAAGAUUAGCUAAUACCGCAUACGCCCUGAGGGGGAAAGUAGGGGAUCUUCGGACCUUACGUUAUUAGAGCGGCCGAUAUCUGAUGAGCUAGUUGGUGGGGUAAAGGCCUACCAAGGCGACGAUCAGUAGCUGGUCGGAGAGGACGACCAGCCACACUGGAACUGAGACACGGUCCAGACUCCUACGGGAGGCAGCAGUGGGGAAUUUUGGACAAUGGGGGCAACCCUGAUCCAGCCAUUCCGCGUGAGUGAAGAAGGCCUUCGGGUUGUAAAGCUCUUUCGCAAGGGAAGAAAACUUACAUUCUAAUAAAGUGUGAGGCUGACGGUACCUUGAUAAGAAGCACCGGCUAACUACGUGCCAGCAGCCGCCGUAA
This 500-nucleotide ribosomal RNA is filed under the name uncultured bacterium. RNAcentral describes it as "partial 16S ribosomal RNA". It matches the Rfam family "Bacterial small subunit ribosomal RNA", at positions 30 to 523 of the family's 1533-position model. The record is from RNAcentral.